AAAAUCAGUGGUUGGAAGGAAGAACUUCUUUCGGCUGGAGGAGAGGAGAUUCUCCUCAAAGCGGUCAUUCAAGGCAUACCCAUCUAUGCAAUGUCGGUCUAUGAAAUUCCUAAAAAACUAUGCAAAGGAAUUACUGAUGCGAUGGCGCAUUUCUGGUGGGGAGACAAAGACAACCAUAGGAGAAUGCAUUGGAUGGCUUGGUGGAAAAUGUGUGUACCCAAGAAUCAAGGAAGAAUGGCUUUUUGUGAUAUCCACUGUUUCAGUUUGGCUAUGCUCACUAAAAAGGCUUGGCGUCUUAUCGAGAAUCCUGAUUCACUAUGUGCUACUAUUCUAAAAGUCAAAUACUACCCUGAUGGUGAUUUGUUGAACACUAAUCUAAAUAAGGGUUCUUCCUUCACCUGA
This 402-nucleotide ribosomal RNA is filed under the name Triticum aestivum (bread wheat). RNAcentral's name for it is "partial small subunit ribosomal RNA". The record is from RNAcentral. Lineage: Eukaryota; Viridiplantae; Streptophyta; Magnoliopsida; Poales; Poaceae.